Acipenser ruthenus (sterlet) is the source of this 757-nucleotide long non-coding RNA. RefSeq lists it as uncharacterized. NCBI's taxonomy places the organism in Eukaryota, Metazoa, Chordata, Actinopteri, Acipenseriformes, Acipenseridae. The record is from RefSeq and is a predicted model, not a curated record. The transcript has 4 exons.
GCUGUACAGUACCUCUAAGGCUGCCUCAGACUCCUCUAAAGCUGCUUGGAGCUCAUCCUUCUCCAUCUCCAUUCUUUUCUUGGACUUUUGAAGCUCAUGGACACUUCUGCCACCUUCUCCCAGCUGAUCUGUAAGUCUCCAUUUGCUCAAUGGCUUCUUCGUACGCAGUUUUCAGUUUGAAGAGGUCGGUGGCAUGUUGGUGGCUCUCCUUCUGGCACCCUUCCAUCUCAGCCAUGAUCUCCUCGCAUUUCUGACGCCAGUCUGACAGCUGUUUCUCCAUCACAUGCUGCUUCUUGUCCAGAGCUCCUGCCGUAGCAUUGGCCUGAAGAGGAAGAACAGCAAGGCAAAUCAAUGCAGAGAUCCUCAACUUCUCCCUGCAGUCGCUGCUUGGUUUUCUCCAGGCUAGAGCACUUUGACUGGGAGGCCUCCACAGCUUCCUCUGCCACCUGCAGACGUGAUGAGAGCUUUUUCCUGGAAAAGACACAACUCCAGGUGAGGAUGAAUCAAAGACAUCUUGUUGGAGAGGCACAUACAUUAAAAGAUAAAAAUCUACAUGUCUCUGCUCGACCCUGACAAGCUUUCCCUGUAAUUUCAACAGAACACGGACAACUGCUAUACAUCUACAUACCUUGCCUCCAGGAUAGGAUUCAUUCUAAUUCAGGGGAGUCAAUUGACACUAAAAAGUGUAAACUUCCUUCCUGGUGAAUUACACCGUGUAACAAAUUUUUUUUUUUUUUGGUUCCUGGGUAGUAAGUGU